RNAcentral lists this small RNA (29 nucleotides) under Bombyx mori (domestic silkworm). RNAcentral describes it as "ovarian small RNA-7687". Lineage: Eukaryota; Metazoa; Arthropoda; Insecta; Lepidoptera; Bombycidae. The record is from RNAcentral.
UCUACGAUGUCUGCGGUGAAACCGUCCGG